Molecule: ribosomal RNA, 391 nt
Filed under: uncultured bacterium
Lineage: Bacteria
Description: bacterial SSU rRNA
Rfam family: Bacterial small subunit ribosomal RNA
Source: RNAcentral
AUUGAACGCUGGCGGCAUGCCUUACACAUGCAAGUCGAACGGCAGCACGGGAGCAAUCCUGGUGGCGAGUGGCGAACGGGUGAGUAAUAUAUCGGAACGUGCCCAGUCGUGGGGGAUAACGCAGCGAAAGCUGUGCUAAUACCGCAUACGAUCUCUGGAUGAAAGCGGGGGACUCGCAAGGGCCUCGCGCGAUUGGAGCGGCCGAUAUCAGAUUAGCUAGUUGGCGGGGUAAAGGCCCGCCAAGGCGACGAUCUGUAGCUGGUCUGAGAGGACGACCAGCCACACUGGAACUGAGACACGGUCCAGACUCCUACGGGAGGCAGCAGUGGGGAAUUUUGGACAAUGGGCGCAAGCCUGAUCCAGCAAUGCCGCGUGCAGGAUGAAGGCCUUC